Molecule: ribosomal RNA, 253 nt
Filed under: uncultured bacterium
Lineage: Bacteria
Description: partial 16S ribosomal RNA
Rfam family: Bacterial small subunit ribosomal RNA
Source: RNAcentral
UACGUAGGGGGCAAGCGUUGUCCGGAUUUAUUGGGCGUAAAGAGCGUGUAGGCGGCCAGACAGGUCCGUUGUGAAAACUCGAGGCUCAACCUCGAGAUGUCGAUGGAAACCGUCUGGCUAGAGUCCGGAAGAGGAGUGUGGAAUUCCUGGUGUAGCGGUGAAAUGCGCAGAUAUCAGGAAGAACACCUAUGGCGAAGGCAGCACUCUGGGACGUGACUGACGCUGAGACGCGAAAGCGUGGGGAGCAAACAGG